UGCCACUAAAACCCAAUAGUGGUAUCAGAGCCUACCUUGAUUUAUACAAUCAAAGUUUGGAAUGUUGUCUUGAUUGUGAUCAAGCUAGAAUUUUGGGUUUGGUUCAAGUCGGGUCAAUGGUUGAACCCAAUUGAACAUCCAAAUCCUGAUAUAUCUUAGAGAUAUGUUUGGAUGCUUGAAGUUAUAAUUUUGAUCAUAUUAAUAUAUCUUAGAGAUAUGUUUAGUUGUAUGAUAUC
Molecule: long non-coding RNA, 236 nt
Filed under: Elaeis guineensis (African oil palm)
Lineage: Eukaryota; Viridiplantae; Streptophyta; Magnoliopsida; Arecales; Arecaceae
Description: long non-coding RNA (EGUI_LNC042510)
Source: RNAcentral